Molecule: long non-coding RNA, 4127 nt
Organism: Acinonyx jubatus (cheetah)
Lineage: Eukaryota; Metazoa; Chordata; Mammalia; Carnivora; Felidae
Exons: 3
Source: RefSeq, a predicted model, not a curated record
CAUAGCUACUACUGCAGUGCUGUAGACACACGCACGUUUGAAUGAGAAGUUUGGUGAAGCAAUGCCUACCUUUGCCGUGUGAGACACACUGCGAUACUCUCUAUUUCGUUCUGUUCUGUGUCAAGUUCAAAUUCCGCUUGUGGUCUGCUCAAUUGAUUUCAUGACCUGAAAAAUAAUUCCAACCCACAGCUUAAGCAGCACUGGCCCAGUGACCUUCAGCAUUCCCUCCAUCCCGGAGAGUCUGUGACUCCAACGGUAGAAUUUAAGGCAUCAUGAAUGAGAACGUAAUAGUGUCACAGCGAUGGUGCAUCUAACGGGACUUGGCUUCACGGCCUUGAAAAAAAAUCAAACAACAUCGCCAUUCUAUCUUCAGGUUUUCGGAGAAUCUUACCCCAAGUUGGCCUUUUUAAGGUUUGGCCCAGUUUGCGGGGAAGGGCAAGUGAAAGCUCUUCAAACACGCCGGUGUGUAUGAGUGAUUUUAAGCCUCUGUUUCAUGGAAGUCAAUGUCGGGGAUCACUGGAGCGCUCUGGAGCGAGCCUGGAGAGGGCAGCUCGUCUCGAGUGCCUGUCCGAGGGUUCCUGGGCCUCUCCUCUGUGCCCUUGCUGCCAACAGCAGCUCUUUUCCUCCUCAGCAGAGGCAUUUCGUAGUGCCCUGCUUAUCUGUGGAGCUUGACCAAGAGGACACCCAGGCCGGCCUAUGUCACGGGGGCUGGUAGCGGCCAGGGCCAUGCGGCCCAUUUGCAAUCGUCUCGCUGUUUCAAGCCCAGCCCAAGUCUGCGGCCCUCUCCACCUCAAAGACUGUAGGAUUCUAUUUUAAACACUGAGUUCUACGUUCUCUAAAAUUGACUCUCCCUUCCCGGCUCACCAUCUGUCAUUCGCCUGGGAUCUGAACUGUAAAGCCAAGUAGAGGAGAAGAUGGUAAUAGCUCUUCCUUAGCUGCGAGUUGGAAUCAAAUCCUCGACCCCUGUCCUCAGUCGGACAUCACCUCUCGGCCAAGUUCUCGAGAGAGAGAGACAGAGAGAGAGAGAGACAGAAGAUCCCAAGCAGACUCCAUGCUGUCAGCGCAGAGCCCGGCGUGGGGGCCGAUCUCACAAGCUGUGACAUCAUGACCUGGACCGAAAUCAAGAGUGGCCUGAGCCACAUCAACAAUUUUUAAAACUAUUGUGAGUAAAAUACGCGUCACAUGAAAUUUGCCAUCUCAACCAUUUUGAAGUGUACGGGUCAGUGGCAUUAAACGCAUUCACGUUGUUGUGAAACCAUCACUGCCAUCCAUCUCCAGAAAUGUCCGGAAGAAGACACCCAAUGUCUUGUGGGUGUCUUGUCUCGAUACCCAUCAGCCGACAACUCCCCACUCCUCCUCCCCCAGCCCCUGGCACCCACCAUUCUGCUUUCUGUCGCCAGGACUCUGACUACUCUAGGUACCCCAUACAAGUGCAAUCGUACAGUAUCUGUCUUUUUGUGACUGCCUUAUUUCACUUAGCAUCAUGUUCUCAAGGUUCAUUCAUGUGGCAUGUGUCAGAACAUUUCCUGCCUUCGUAAGGCUGGACAAUACUCCAUUGUACGUGCAGACUACGUUUUGCUUAUCAGUUCAUCCACCGAAGGAUACUGGGUUGCUUCCACGUGUUGGUUAUUGUGAAUCAUGCUGCCUUGAGCACGGGUACGCAAAUAUCUCGAGUCCCUGCUUUCCAUUCUUUGGGGUAUAUGCCCAGGAGUGGAUGAGCAAUUGUAGAUCACUUUUCCUUUGAGGUGAGCAAUGGUUGUUUGUGGGUGGCUCCUGAGAAUUAUAUCACCUAUUGUUUUUAAAGGUUAUUUAUUUUGAGAGAGAGAGAGAGAGAGAGAAAGUAGGGGAGGGGCAGAGAGAGAGAGAAUCCCAAGUAGGCUCCGCACUGUCAGUGGAGAGCCUGACUUGGGGCUUGAACUCAUGAAGAAUCGUGAGAUCAUGACCUGAGCUGAAGUCAGACACUUAACUGACUGACGCCCCUGAAUUCUGUCACCUAUUAAGGUGUGCGGCCAUUGUCUGUUCACAUGGGUCUCUCCCCGCUGGACUGUAGGUUCCUGGUGGCCAGGGAACCAUGUUCAACAUUCCCACACCCUGAUGCCAUGGAGGGCCCACAGUCUGCCCUCUGAAAGGCUUAUGAAUGGAACAAAUCUGGUCAGGGCUGUUGCUGAGGGCGUGGUGCUGAGCCCUCCUGCCCCGGCUCGCGUGUAUUUUUAUACAUGGGGUUUUUCUGAUUUUGUUUGAAAGGGAAAAACUGUCCCUAAAAUAAUAACAAUAAUAAUAAUAAUAAUAAAACGAAUAUAAUCCAGUUCCCUGUGGGAAAACUGGAAACCCACUGAGGGCUGGUGAUCUGCCAGGCAUCCUGGCGUAGUUGGUGGGCCAGCCAGGAUCCGAACCCAUGGUCCCCGUUCUCUAAUUGGCCUUGCUGCCACACGGCCUUCUCCACAAAAGGCGAUUGUCCUCUGUCGUUUCCCCCCUUGCUCUCUGCCUGUCUCCUCCCUCAGAAGACAGGGCAGACCCCUCCCCAGAGCCAGCCCGGCUCUGGGUCGGGGCCCUGCCAGGUCGGGCAGCCCAGCAUGGAGUCGGUGGGGCUGCCGUAAGCAGGGGAGUGUGCUUCCUUUCCCACAAGCUUUAAUGGAGUGAGGGGGGACUCAGCCCCCGGGCCCCUCCAGGCAACCCCAGCGCAGGGUAGCUCAGCUGAUCUCCAGAUGGCCCAGCAAGAGGAAAACUUGAUGAAGGUCUUCAUUCUCUGAGGCCUUUCCUUCCCUGAGGAGAGGGUUCUCUUCCUGGGAAACCGUAGACGAGGCCGCGUGUGAGAGACGGAGGUCCAAGUUGGGGGGGGGGGGCGUGUAAAUGCGUGUGUGAGAAAACCCAAGGCACGGGGCAAGGGUGGGGUAGAGAUGGAGGCAGCAGAGAGAAGUGAUGGAAAGAAACAACCUUCCUCAGAGAGUUUUGGGAGCUAAGUGUCCUGAAGAGAACUUGGAACUGUACCUGGCACGGUAAGUGCUAUGUGGACGUUGUUGAUUAUUGCAGAGGUGGAGAGUGUGGUGGACGAGAGAGAGGAAGGGAAGUGGGGGGGGGGGGGGUGGUGCGGGCAGGAGCUGAUCCCGGAAGCCCCAGAGAUGCAAGGAAAGGUGGAAUCUGGGCGGGACUCCCUUGUCUGGCUCUUCUCCCAUAAAGCUGACUCUGUUCCUCUUCCUCCCUCAUUGUAUUUUUAAAUCUAAAUAGCGCGGCCUCCAUUGUGCGAAGGAACACGAUUUUCUGGAUUCCCUGAAGCGCCUCAGCACACUGUGCGUUGAGAGUCUGCCUGGCAACAGCCAUCUAGGUCCCAGGGAUGGUGACGGAGGGGCCUGGUGGCCACAUACCGCCUCAGCCCUAAUAGUAAAGAUUCCGCGGUGCGCCUGAGCCUUCGUGCCUGCCCUCCUACCCCUGUAAACCCUCCGGGUCUCCUCCCAUCUUUGGCCGGAGGUAACUCCUUCCCAGAUUGUGUCGGAUUGAGGGUGAAGCCCACACAGCCCGGGGCUCCCUGGGCGGAGAUGGGUCCUGGCCCUUCCAGGCCUUGACGACGCUGUGCGGCUGGAGCUCUGUCCCCCACCUGUGCCUUGAGGCCCUGCCCCACUUUGUGAUGGCUCUGAAAGGUCAAGGGCGGGACACGGGUCUACACUGAUUUUCAAUCUGGGCCAUCACAGGGGGCCUUUUUGGGUCAACGUUUAAAAAAUGUGAUCUCCUCUCUCCGUGGAGGCUGAGAAGCGUCCCAAGGAGGGUUUCUACCCCAGCGGGGCCGGCUCCUGCGCUGGCGGCCUGGAAAACACUGCUGUCCCCGGCAUCGUCCUGGUGCCCGGAGCUGGUGGUGGCUGCACGAACAGAACCUCGGCCCCAAGCAAAGGGCAGAUCACCAGGCCCAGUGACCGUCUGCGUCAGCCCCAUACCCUCUCAGUGCUGCGGGAGAUCAUUCAGAAGCUUUCGGGCCUCUCAGCCCUGUGAUGCGAGAGGGCAGGACAUCUUCAAAUGUAUGGCUGAGGACAUCAAGGUCCAGAGAAAAGAGUGAUGGGCAGAAGCCAGGGCUAGAAGCCAAUGGCCUGAUUUCUGGUCCUGGGCCAUUUCUACAAUUCAGUUCUGCCCCCCCCCCC